RNAcentral lists this non-coding RNA (815 nucleotides) under Hebardina formosana. Its description in RNAcentral is "12S ribosomal RNA". The stretch from base 388 to 798 matches the Rfam family "Microsporidia small subunit ribosomal RNA", at positions 752 to 1303 of the family's 1311-position model. Lineage: Eukaryota; Metazoa; Arthropoda; Insecta; Blattodea; Blattidae. The record is from RNAcentral.
AAGUUUUAUUCUUGCUUGCUAAUUAUUUGCUUUUCAAUUAUUUUAUAUGUAAGUUUUUGCGUAUAUUAGUUUUAUUAUUCUUAAUGGGUUUAUUAAUUUUGUUUUGUAAUUCGCAGUAUAAAGUUUUAUAAAUUAAUGGGAGUUUGAUUUGGUAAUUUUGAUUUAUUAUUGGUAAAAUUUGUGCCAGCAUCCGCGGUUAUACAAUGAAUAUGAGUGAAUAUUUUUGGUUAAGAUAGUUAAAGAAUUAUUGUUUGGGUUAUUUUUAUAUUUUUAGGUGAAAUUUUAAUUUUUAUUAUAACUUUAUUUUUCUUGAGGCUGUUAAAUCUUUAAUUUUAAACUAGGAUUAGAUACCCUAUUAUUUUUGAUAUAAAUUAAUUAUUUUAAUCUAGGUAGUACUAGUUAUGAUCUUGAAACUUAAAGAAUUUGGCGGUAUUUUAGUCUAUUUAGAGGAGUCUGUCCCUUGAUCGAUAAUCCGCGUUGGACCUUACCAAGUCUUUUUAUAUUUGUAUACCGCCGUUAUAAUGAAAAUCUUUUUAGAGAUUAUUAAUUUUCUUGAUUUGUUUAUAAAGUUUAUUUCAGGUCAAGGUGCAGUUUAUGAUUUGGUGGAGAUGGAUUACAUUUAAGGAUUUAUUAUUGGAUUUAUUGAUUGAAAUUUUAUUAUGAAAUUGGAUUUAAUUGUAAUUUUUUGAAGUUUGUAUAAAUGAUUAUAGCUCUAGAAUAUGUACACAUCGCCCGUCACUCUCAUAUGAUUAAUUGAGAUAAGUCGUAACAUAGUGGUUGUACCGGAAGGUGUAGCUGGAUUGAUUUAUUUUAUA